CCUACGGGAGGCAGCAGUGGGGAAUAUUGGACAAUGGGCGAAAGCCUGAUCCAGCAAUGCCGCGUGAGUGAUGAAGGCCUUCGGGUCGUAAAGCUCUUUUACCAGGGAUGAUAAUGACAGUACCUGGAGAAUAAGCUCCGGCUAACUCCGUGCCAGCAGCCGCGGUAAUACGGAGGGAGCUAGCGUUGUUCGGAAUUACUGGGCGUAAAGAGUACGUAGGCGGUUAUUCAAGUCAGAGGUGAAAGCCCGGGGCUCAACCCCGGGAACUGCCUUUGAAACUAGAUAACUAGAGUCUUGGAGAGGUUAGUGGAAUUCCGAGUGUAGAGGUGAAAUUCGUAGAUAUUCGGAAGAACACCAGUGGCGAAGGCGACUAACUGGACAAGUACUGACGCUGAGGUACGAAAGCGUGGGGAGCAAACAGGAUUAGAUACCCUGGUAGUCCACGCCGUAAACGAUGAUAACUAGUUGUUCGGUCACUUGGUGACUGAGUGACGCAGCUAACGCAUUAAGUUAUCCGCCUGGGGAGUACGGUCGCAAGAUUAAAACCUCAAAGGAAUUGACGG
This 563-nucleotide ribosomal RNA is filed under the name uncultured bacterium. RNAcentral describes it as "bacterial SSU rRNA". It matches the Rfam family "Bacterial small subunit ribosomal RNA", at positions 338 to 916 of the family's 1533-position model. The record is from RNAcentral.